This 253-nucleotide ribosomal RNA is filed under the name uncultured bacterium. Its description in RNAcentral is "partial 16S ribosomal RNA". It matches the Rfam family "Bacterial small subunit ribosomal RNA", at positions 524 to 776 of the family's 1533-position model. The record is from RNAcentral.
UACGAGGGGGGCAAGCGUUGUUCGGAAUUAUUGGGCGUAAAGAGCGCGCAGGCGGUCGUUCAAGUCGCGUGUGAAAGCCCCCGGCUCAACUGGGGAGGGUCACGCGAUACUGAUCGACUCGAAGGCAGGAGAGGGAAGUGGAAUUCCCGGUGUAGUGGUGAAAUGCGUAGAUAUCGGGAGGAACACCAGUGGCGAAGGCGGUUGCCUGGAGCUUUGCUGACGCUGAUGCGCGAAAGCGUGGGGAGCGAUCCGG